Aethina tumida (small hive beetle) is the source of this 900-nucleotide long non-coding RNA. RefSeq lists it as uncharacterized. The record is from RefSeq and is a predicted model, not a curated record. The transcript has 4 exons. NCBI's taxonomy places the organism in Eukaryota, Metazoa, Arthropoda, Insecta, Coleoptera, Nitidulidae.
UUCCGUCUUUCGAUGGCAAUAUUGCGCAACACACGCCUAUAGAUUUUUCGCCGAGGAAUCUCCUCCAACACCGUGUUCGGAGGAGAGCGGCUUUGGUGGGGGCAAUUGCGCAUUCGAAUUUCCCUUCCCCGCGCUAGCCGCCCGCCCGCCUGCCCCGGCAAAUUGCCGUCAUCGGCGAACAUUUUAUUUCAUCUCUUAAAACGGGCAAGUUCCACCGGUGUUACGUGUUGUGUGUCGUCGGGUGCAACCGAACAUGUAAUGUACAUUGUGCCAACCCUCCGGACGCCGCCCGAACGAAAAAAAAAAAAAAAAAUUAAAUUGACGAACCGAAAAAAUAAAAAACAAAAAAAAAAAAACACGCCAUCCGGUCCAUCUUGCGUCGAUGGUGAAUUGUCGCGGGCAACCGGCAGCCACCCAGCCACCCGUGGUCGCAGGCCGACAAUAAUGCAACGCAGGAACUAUUUUUACGUGCGAGUUCGCCAUGAACUUGACAAGACCAUCGAUUAACUGCAAGAACAAGUCUGUCUUGUAUUUUAAUCAUUGGCUAUGACGGAUGGAGUUAUUAUAGGAAAGAAAACUAAACGAUUUUCGUCGCUCAGCUUCUUGAAGAUGGUUAUUUGAAUGAUUGGUUUAGAGUUCAAAGAGUCUUGGACACAGGAAAUGGGCGACUUUACCUGAGCCUCUCUGGAUGAAAUGAAACAAAAUAUACAUUAUAUGGCCGCUUACGUGUCAUUUGGUGGACCACAGAUGAGACUGCAGGGCGUUGCCAACUAUUUGCAUAGCUUUGAAGUGGAUCAGCACAUGCAUUUGUUCAUGAAGAAAAUAUUGAUGCAACAUCUCAGAAUUUAUUUGUAAUUUUAUAAUAUAACAGUUUAAAUAAAACGUUUAUAUUUUAUAUGA